GCCGCCGCGCUACGCCACGCUUCGGGGUGCUAUGAGACGCGAAAUGCACUCGUAAUGCGUAGGUCUGGGGUUCGACUCCCCAAGGCGGCU
This 90-nucleotide transfer RNA is filed under the name Saccharopolyspora erythraea. RNAcentral describes it as "tRNA-Thr". The record is from RNAcentral. Lineage: Bacteria; Bacillati; Actinomycetota; Actinomycetes; Pseudonocardiales; Pseudonocardiaceae.